Molecule: ribosomal RNA, 508 nt
Filed under: uncultured bacterium
Lineage: Bacteria
Description: bacterial SSU rRNA
Rfam family: Bacterial small subunit ribosomal RNA
Source: RNAcentral
UCAGGAUGAACGCUAGCUACAGGCUUAACACAUGCAAGUCGAGGGGCAGCAUGAAGUUUGCUUGCAAACUUGAUGGCGACCGGCGCACGGGUGAGUAACGCGUAUCCAACCUUCCCCUUAGUAGAGGAUAGCCCGGCGAAAGUCGGAUUAAUACUCUAUGUUGUAUUUUUGAGGACAUCUGACGAAUACCAAAGAUUUAUCGCUAAGGGAUGGGGAUGCGUCUGAUUAGCUUGUUGGCGGGGUAACGGCCCACCAAGGCGACGAUCAGUAGGGGUUCUGAGAGGAAGGUCCCCCCACAUUGGUACUGAGACACGGACCAAACUCCUACGGGAGGCAGCAGUGAGGAAUAUUGGUCAAUGGGCGAGAGCCUGAACCAGCCAAGUAGCGUGCAGGAAGACUGCCCCCUAUGGGUUGCAAACUGCUUUUAUCAGGGAAUAAAGUGCGGCACGUGUGCUGUUUUGUAUGUACCUGAUGAAUAAGGACCGGCUAAUUCCGUGCCAGCAGCAGC